GAAUAGCUCCCAGAUGAGCUGAGGAACCUGAGAGGUCGUGAGAAAGAGGCGAACCCCCUUCCCACAGCCGGCGCACUGCCAGCCGCCGGGGGAAUGUGGGAGAGCGUCUCUCUGACACACGCAUCAACUCUCCCGCUGCUUGCCCAAACACCCCACCGCAUGCCUGCCAGCAAGCGCUGACGCACAGGGCCCAUCUGAGGGGGGUAGAGUGGAGCUGAUUGGGGCAGUAUGUGGGAAGCUCGACAGCAGAGGCGUACGUGAGGACGAGGACAGGGGACAGGAAGGAGGAUGGAAUGAUGGAAGCCACAGUUACAGAAGUGGUGUUUGUAGAGGAUCCACUGCAGAGCUUUUAUUCUUGCCAGCGAUCACUCCAGGAAAGUACUCUGAUCUGACACCCACAGGCUGCUGUUCUGCCGAUGCUCUUUUGCAUCAGACAUAAUGAGAUGGAGGUGCAGGAGUAACGCUGGAAACUCAAGCUGUUUGACGGCCUCCAGAUCCUUCAGCGCCUGGAGUGGGACUGAAUUUCAUCUCAGUCAAGGCGAAGAAAAGU
This is a long non-coding RNA of Pimephales promelas (fathead minnow), 550 nucleotides long. RefSeq lists it as uncharacterized. Lineage: Eukaryota; Metazoa; Chordata; Actinopteri; Cypriniformes; Leuciscidae. The record is from RefSeq and is a predicted model, not a curated record.